Chroicocephalus ridibundus (black-headed gull) is the source of this 926-nucleotide long non-coding RNA. RefSeq lists it as uncharacterized. The record is from RefSeq and is a predicted model, not a curated record. NCBI's taxonomy places the organism in Eukaryota, Metazoa, Chordata, Aves, Charadriiformes, Laridae. The transcript has 3 exons.
AACGGGAAGGAUAAGGCUAAAACACCCCAACUCUUUUUUUUAGAGGUCAGCAGACUCAGCCUCCCUACCCCGUGUUUUCUCGCCUGGCAUUAACAUCAGUUUUAAGAUCUGCUUGAGACAAGCAACGGUUGCAUUCGCCAUCACCAGAAACCAAGAGGAAAGGGGUGGAAAGGAAAAGAAAGAGGGAGGGGCAAAAUGGAGAAAAAAAAAAAAAAAAGGUUUUUUCUUUCUUGCAAUCUCAUAAUCAGGCGAUUUGCCCCCCCCGAAAGGCGCAAGCGAGCCCCCGGCAGGUAGCCCUGCCCAAGCCACUCGCCCGCUGGUUGGGGCCGCAGCGCUGGGGAGCUGGUUUCUCCUGGAGAGCCCUGCAGCAUGACCACCCCCUUGCUAAAAAUAACUCGGUAAAUCAAAUUUAAAAAAAAUCACAGCGGCUCCGAUCAUUUCUGCAAGUGGGAGCCAAUAAACUCAGGCCUUUCCUUCUUAACCUAGAGCCAGGCGCAGAUAUUGCACAUUGCCAUGUGCAUAACCUAUUUAAAGAAUUUAUAUGCGUCAUAAGGCAAAGGUGACUUUCCCCCCCUCUUCCUCGCAGCCCACCACGCUGCAAGAUGAUACUGGGGAAAAGCACCUGCGCUUAAAACCGCUGCACGCAGAAAUAUUGCAAGUGGGCCAGCGUUAUAGCUCCCCAAGAAAUACAGGCUUUGCGCUGUAACGGUACCUUUUCAAGAGACAAUCCCGCCAAGGAACUAAAUGAAAACGUAGACAGCGGACACCAGGAAGUAUUAAAUUCAUGCUUUGCCGAGAAAUAGCAGCCCACGGUAUCGGCUGGAGAUUGCUGUAACCCACCGGGGCUCGUAGCCUCCUGGCAGGGCGAGCACAGCUCCCCAGCAGCCCGCGUACCGCCAGGCUGGGCUCUGGGGCUCUACAACCCG